Molecule: long non-coding RNA, 1429 nt
Filed under: Zonotrichia albicollis (white-throated sparrow)
Lineage: Eukaryota; Metazoa; Chordata; Aves; Passeriformes; Passerellidae
Description: lncRNA (ENSZALG00000002201.1)
Source: RNAcentral
CUGAAAUUCCAUCCGGGAAGAGCCGGAGCAUCCCUGAAUCCCAAAUCCGCAAUUGCAGGAUCCCAAUCCCCGCUCACAUUCCAGGUUUGGUUUUUCCAGCCCGUUCCGGUUUCCCGGCGGUGCCGUGAGCGCGGAGCCGAUAUUGGAUCCAUCCAUAACCCUGACAGGAGCGGGAUUUGGGAUUUGGGAUUUGGGAUUUGGGAUUUGGGGUUUGGGAUCGGCAACGGGGCCGUGACGCAGAGCAGGGGUUGGAUUGGUUUUAUUCCCAUUUAUUGCCCCUUUUUAUUGGGAUUUUAGAUGGCUUUAUUUCCUUUUAUUCCCCAUUUUCUCUGGGAUUCAGGAUCAUGACUGAGGGGCUUGCAUGGUUUUAUUCCCUUUUAUUGCCCGUUUUUAUUGGGAUUUGGGAUUUUAGAUGGCUUUAUUUCCUUUUAUUGCCCGUUUUCUCUGGGAUUCAGGAUCCCGACUGAAGCCUUUGCAUGGUUUUAUUUCUUUUUAUUGCCUGUUUUCCCUGGGAUUUGGGAUUUUAGAUGGUUUAUUCCCCAUUUUCUCUGGGAUUCAGGAUCCUGGCUAAAGCUUUUGGAUGGUUUUAUUCCCUUUUAUUCCCCAUUUUCUCUGGGAUUUGGGGUCUUGGAUGGCUUUAUUUCCUUUUAUUGCCCGUUUUUAUUGGGAUUUGGGAUUUUAGAUGGCUUUAUUUCCUUUUAUUACCCAUUUUUAUUGGGAUUUGGGAUUUUAGAUGGUUUUAUUCCCUUUUAUUCCCCAUUUUCUCUGGGAUUCAGGAUCCUGACUGAAGCCUUUGCAUGCUUUUAUUCCCUUUUAUUGCCCGUUUUCCUUGGGAUUCGGGAUAUUGGAUGGCUUUAUUUCCUUUUAUUGCCUGUUUUCCUUGGGAUUUGGGAUUUUAGAUGGUUUUAUUCCCCAUUUUCCUUGGGAUUUGGGGUCUUGGAUGGCUUUAUUUCCUUUUAUUGCCCGUUUUUAUUGGGAUUUGGGAUUUUAGAUGGCUUUAUUUCCUUUUAUUCCCCAUUUUCUCUGGGAUUCAGGAUCCUGACUGAAGCCUUUGGAUGGUUUUAUUUCCUUUUAUUCACCGUUUUCCUUGGGAUUUGGGAUAUUGGAUGGCUUUAUUUCCUUUUAUUGCCUGUUUUCCUUGGGAUUUGGGAUUUUAGAUGGUUUUAUUCCUCAUUUUCUCUGGAAUUCAGGAUCCUGGCUAAAGCCUUUGGAUGGUUUUAUUCCCUUCCAGAAUUCCCCAUUUUCUCUGGGAUUUGGGAUCUUGGAUGGCUUUAUUCCCUUUAUUCCUUUUUAUUUUAUUCCCUUUUAUUUUAUUCCCUUUUAUUUUAUUCCCUUUUAUUCCCCAUUUUCUCUGGCAUUUGGAUUUUAGAUGAUUUAAUUCCCUUCUAUUCCCCAUUUUCUCUGGGAUUCAGAAUCCUGACUAAAGCCU